This 249-nucleotide ribosomal RNA is filed under the name uncultured bacterium. RNAcentral's name for it is "partial 16S ribosomal RNA". It matches the Rfam family "Bacterial small subunit ribosomal RNA", at positions 1250 to 1500 of the family's 1533-position model. The record is from RNAcentral.
CGAAAGCAGUGAUGCAGAGCAAAUCCCCAAAAGCAGUCUUAGUUCGGAUUGUAGGCUGCAACUCGCCUACAUGAAGUCGGAAUUGCUAGUAAUCGCGGAUCAGCAUGCCGCGGUGAAUACGUUCCCGGGCCUUGUACACACCGCCCGUCACACCAUGGGAGUCGGUAACACCCGAAGCCUGUAGUCUGACGCAAGAGGGCGCAGCCGAAGGUGGGAUUGAUGACUGGGGUGAAGUCGUAACAAGGUACC